Molecule: ribosomal RNA, 253 nt
Filed under: uncultured bacterium
Lineage: Bacteria
Description: partial 16S ribosomal RNA
Rfam family: Bacterial small subunit ribosomal RNA
Source: RNAcentral
UACGUAGCGUCCAAACGUUAUUCGGAAUUACUGGGCGUAAAGCGUGCGCAGGCGGUCUUGCAAGACAGAUGUGAAAUCCCCGGGCUUAACCUGGGAACUGCAUUUGUGACUGCAAGGCUUGAGUGCGGAAGAGGGGGAUGGAAUUCCGCGUGUAGCAGUGAAAUGCGUAGAUAUGCGGAGGAACACCGAUGGCGAAGGCAAUGCCCUGGGCCUGCACUGACGCUCAUGCACGAAAGCGUGGGGAGCAAACAGG